GAUGAAGAACGUAGCGAAAUGCGAUAAGUAAUGUGAAUUGCAGAAUUCAGUGAAUCAUCGAAUCUUUGAACGCACCUUGCACCCUUUGGCAUUCCGAAGGGUAUGCUCGUUUGAGUGUCAUUGUACUCUCACACUUCCAAUCUUUGGAUUGGGGGCGGUGGACUUGGGUGUUGCUGCUUACUGUGGCUCACCUCAAAUUGAUUCGUGCACCUCUUGGUUGGACAUAGUACGGCGUGAUAAGUGUCUUCGCCGGCACCUCAGUAGAGGGUGGCUGAUCGGGAGCUCUGUGCUUCAAACCGUCCUCGGACAACAACUGACAACUUGACCUCAAAUCGAGUAGGACUACCCGCUGAACUUAAGCAUAUCAAUAAGCGGAGGA
Molecule: unclassified non-coding RNA, 379 nt
Filed under: soil metagenome
Description: partial contains 5.8S ribosomal RNA, internal transcribed spacer 2, and large subunit ribosomal RNA
Rfam family: 5.8S ribosomal RNA (bases 1-120)
Source: RNAcentral